GGCUUAUUGGUCUAGUGGUAUGAUUCUUGCUUUAGGUGUAAGAGGCCCCGGGUUCAAAUCCCGGAUGAGCCC
Daphnia pulex (common water flea) is the source of this 72-nucleotide non-coding RNA. The record is from Rfam. NCBI's taxonomy places the organism in Eukaryota, Metazoa, Arthropoda, Branchiopoda, Diplostraca, Daphniidae.